AUUGAACGCUGGCGGCAUGCUUUACACAUGCAAGUCGAACGGUAACAGGUUAAGCUGACGAGUGGCGAACGGGUGAGUAAUGCAUCGGAACGUGCCCGAUCGUGGGGGAUAACGCAGCGAAAGCUGCGCUAAUACCGCAUGCGAUCUGAGGAUGAAAGCGGGGGACCGUAAGGCCUCGCGCGAUCGGAGCGGCCGAUGUCAGAUGAGGUAGUUGGUGGGGUAAAGGCCCACCAAGCCAACGAUCUGUAGCUGGUCUGAGAGGACGACCAGCCACACUGGGACUGAGACACGGCCCAGACUCCUACGGGAGGCAGCAGUGGGGAAUUUUGGACAAUGGGCGAAAGCCUGAUCCAGCAAUGCCGCGUGCAGGAAGAAGGCCUUCGGGUUGUAAACUGCUUUUGUACGGAGCGAAAAAGCUCUCUCUAAUACAGGGGGCUCAUGACGGUACCGUAAGAAUAAGCACCGGCUAACUACGUGCCAGCCGCCGCAGUAA
This 493-nucleotide ribosomal RNA is filed under the name uncultured bacterium. Its description in RNAcentral is "partial 16S ribosomal RNA". It matches the Rfam family "Bacterial small subunit ribosomal RNA", at positions 29 to 523 of the family's 1533-position model. The record is from RNAcentral.